GGCGAACGGGUGCGUAACACGUGAGCAACCUGCCCUUGUGUGGGGGAUAACCCGGGGAAACCCGGGCUAAUACCGCAUGGACUCUUCGGGUCACAUGACUUGGGGAGGAAAGCUCCUUCGGGAGUGCGCAGGGAGGGGCUCGCGGCGUAUCAGCUAGUUGGUGAGGUAACGGCUCACCAAGGCGAUGACACGUAGGGGGUCUGAGAGGAUGGCCCCCCACAUUGGGACUGAGAUACGGCCCAGACUCCUACGGGAGGCAGCAGUGGGGAAUCUUGCGCAAUGGCCGAAAGGCUGACGCAGCGACGCCGCGUGCGGGAGGAAGCUCUUCGGGGUGUAAACCGCUGUCAGGAGGGACGAAGGUCCUGGGGAGGCAAUGCCCUGGGGAUGACGGUACCUCCAGAGGAAGCGCCGGCUAACUCCGUGCCAGCAGCCGCGGUAAUACGGAGGGCGCGAGCGUUGUUCGGAAUUAUUGGGCGUAAAGCGCACGUAGGCGGCUCGGUAAGUCUCACUGUGAAAGCCCGAGGCUCAACCCCGGGAGGCCAGGGGAUACUGUCGGGCUGGAGACAAGCAGAGGUUGGUAGAAUUCCGGGUGUAGCGGUGGAAUGCGUAGAGAUCCGGAGGAAUACCAGAGGCGAAGGCGGCCAACUGGGCUUGUUCUGACGCUGAGGUGCGAAAGCGUGGGGAGCGAACAGGAUUAGAUACCCUGGUAGUCCACGCCGUAAACGAUGGGCACUAGAUGCCGGUGGGAUCGAACCCUUCGGUGUCGCAGCUAACGCAUUAAGUGCCCCGCCUGGGGAGUACGGCCGCAAGGCUGAAACUCAAAGGAAUUGACGG
RNAcentral lists this ribosomal RNA (834 nucleotides) under uncultured bacterium. RNAcentral's name for it is "bacterial SSU rRNA". It matches the Rfam family "Bacterial small subunit ribosomal RNA", at positions 97 to 916 of the family's 1533-position model. The record is from RNAcentral.